GUAGUGCUGGCUCACAGCAGUCUGAGUCUGCAUCUCCCUUAAUUGGCAGUGACUCAAUGGCUGGAGAGGCUGGAUGUCUUCUCGUGCUUCUGUGCCAUCGGCAUGUCCUCUUUGGUGAAAUCACUUCAUAUGUUUUGCUUAUUUUCUGCUUGGAUUGUUUUCGUACUGGUGAGCUGGGUGAACCCAGUAGCUUCAGCCACAGCUGGGAACUGAAGCAGCAUCUGAAGUCCCUCUCAUUCUCCCAGCGUGAGCCGGCGGACCCUGAAGGGAACGCUGAGACUGACCACAGCUGGACUUGCGCCGCCUCGUCCUCUUAGUGAAUGAGGUCCUCAGAGGCUUAAGCACGCGUUAGUUAUCCAAAAUGCUUCUGUUCAGGCGAAUGCACGAAGCGUUGAGGUAGGUCAACUGCAUUUUGUACGGUGGAAAAGUAAUAACCAGUUUGCUUUUUGUAUUAUGAUGAAAAUGAAAACCCUUCCUUAAAGGAAAGGAAGCAUAAUCUCAGAAAUCUGAAUCCAGGGAAUCCCAAAUAACCCCCCCAAAUUUUAAUCCUUGACAUUCAUAAUCACUUGGAUUAAAAUCUAAGGGAAAAAAAAAAUCACAGGCUGACUUUUUUUUUUUGAGACGGAGUCUCGCUCUGUCGCCCAGGCUGGAGUGCGGUGGCGCAAUCUCGGCUCACUGCAAGCUCCGCCUCCCGGGUUCACGCCAUUCUCCUGCCUCAGCCUCCCGAGUAGCUGGGACCACAGGCACCCGCCACUGCGCCCGCCUAAUUUUUUUGUAUUUUUAGUAGAGAUGGGGUUUCAUUUAGUAGAGAUGGUGUUAGCCAGGAUGGUCUCGAUCUCCUGACCUCGUGAUCCGCCCGCCUCCGCCUCCUAAAAUGCUGGGAUUACAGGCCUGAGCCACCGCGCCCAGCCUACAACAGGAAGACUUUGUUAAAUGAAUGAGGGCGCAGGGAAGAGCAGGUGCUUUGUGAACUUGAGAGCUUCACUUCCUAAUCCUGUGACUCCAACAUUCAAUUAAAGGUAAAGAAAACCAGCAAGACGAGGUAGGGAGUUCUGUAUCCUGUGUUUUUUCUUUUUUUCUUCUUUUUAUUUUUUGUUUUUGAGACAGAGUCUCACUCUGUUACCCAGGCUGGAGUGCAAUGGCAUGAUCUUGGCUCACCGCAACCUCCGCCUCCUGGGUUCAAGCGAUUCUCCUGUCUUAGCCUCCUGAGUAGCUGGGACUACAGGCGUAUGCCAAUACACCCAGCUAAUUUUUGUUUUUUAGUAGAGAUGGGGAUUUCACCAUGUUGGCCAGGCUGGUCUCGAACUCCUGACCUCGUGAUCCAGGGCCCCCCUCCCCCCUCCACCAAGCUUCCAAAGUGCUGGGAUUACAGGUGCGAGCCACUGCGCCGGGCUCCACAUCCACUUUUUUAAAAAUUGUAGUAAAAAACAUAUUGACAUAAAAUUUACCAUCUUAAUCAUUUUAAAAUGCACAGUUCAGUGGUGUUAAGCAUAUUAACGUUGUUGUGAAACCGAUCUCCAAAACAUUUUCAUCUUGCAAAUCUGAAACUUUGCACUCAUUAAACAACUCCCAUUUCCCCCAUCUGCCCAGCCCCUCGUAACCAGCAUUCUACUUUUUGUUUCUAUGCAUUUGACUACUUCAGGUUAUCACAUAAGCAGAAUCAUACUUCUGCGACUGGCUUAUUUCACUUAGCGUAAUAUCCUCAAGGUUCAUCUCUGUUGUAGCUAGUAUGUUAGCUGCAGUCUUUCCUUUUUAAGGCUGGCUAAAAUUCCAUUGUGUGUAUGUACUACAUGCUGUUUACCUGUUCAUCCAUUGAUGAACAUUUGGGUUGCUUCCGCCUUUUUUUUUUUUUUUUUUUUUUUGAGACGGAGUCUUGCUCUGUCACCAGGCUGGAGCGCAGUGGUGCCAUCUUGGCUCACUGCAACCUCCGCUUCCCAGGUUCAAGCUAUUUUACUGCCUCAGCCUCCUGAGUAGCUGGGAUUACAGGCACCCACCACCACGCCCAGCUAGUUUUUGUAUUUUUAAUAGAGACAGGGUUUCACCAUGUUGGCCAGGCUGGUCUUAAACUCCUGACCUCAAGCAAUCCACCCACCUCGGUCUCCCAAAGUGCUGGGAUUACAGGUGUGAGCCACCGCACCUGGCCAGCUUCCACCUCUUAGGCACUGUGAAUAAAGUUGCUAUAAACAUGGGUGUGCAAAUAUCUCUGAGACCCUGCUUUCCAUUCUUCUGGAUAAAUACCCCGAGGAGGCACUACUGGAUCGCAUGUGGGUCUCUUCCUACUAUAUGGCUGUGCCAUUUUACAUUCCCACCAACAGUGCACAAGGGUUCCAGUUUCUCCAUUCCUCACCAACACUUGUUAUUUUGUUUUUCUUCUGAUAGUAGCCAUUCUAAUGGAUGUGUGGUAGUAUCUCAUUGUGAUUUUGAUUUGCAUUUCUCUGACCAUCAGGGAUACUGAGAUGCUUUGCAUAGGCUUGUUGGCCACUUGUUUAUCCUCACUGGAGAACUGUCCAUUCAAGCCCUUUGCCCAUUUUUUAAUUGGGUUAUUUAACUUUGCUUCUUGUUGAGUUGUAGGAGUCUUCAUACAUUCUGAAUGUUAACUCUUUUCACAUAUAUGAUUUGCAAAUAUUUUUCCCGUUUUAUAGGCUGCCUUCUCACUCUGUUGAUUGUGUCCCUGUACGCACAAAAACGUUUACAUUUGAUGUGCUCCCAUUGGUCUAUGUUUUCUUUUGUUGCCUAGGCUUUUGGUAUCAUACCCAAGAAAUCACUGCUAAAUCCAGUAUCUUGAAGCUUACCCUCUAUGUUUUCUUCUAGGAGUUUUAGUUUUCGUGAUUAUGUUUAAGUCUUUAAGCCAUUUUGAGUUAAUUUUUGUAUAUAGUAUAAGAGUUGUGGUACUUAAAAAAAAAUAGCUAUGAUGCAUUCCACUGAAUAAAUGUACAAUCACUUAUGUGACCCUUUCGAUAGCCACCUGGGGGCAUUUCCAGUGUUUUGCUGCUAUCAACAACUGUGACACGAAUACCCUUUAUACUACCCUCUCUCACACACAAGAACAACUGUUUCCCUGUCUUCUUAUUUAAAAUCAACUCCUGGCUGGCGUGUUUCAAGUUUUUUACUUCCUCAUUUGUAUUGUAACUCCUAACCUUUAAACCCUUAGCACCAGAUAUAUUUUGGAAUUCAGAAACUUUCAGAUUUUGGAAAGAUAACAUGGUACAUAUGCUAUGCAUUACCAAAUCCUCAUCAUAAAUAAAAUCUGAGAAUAUUUC
Molecule: long non-coding RNA, 3260 nt
Organism: Gorilla gorilla gorilla (western lowland gorilla)
Lineage: Eukaryota; Metazoa; Chordata; Mammalia; Primates; Hominidae
Exons: 2
Source: RefSeq, a predicted model, not a curated record